RNAcentral lists this ribosomal RNA (1488 nucleotides) under uncultured Bordetella sp. RNAcentral describes it as "partial 16S-23S ribosomal RNA intergenic spacer". It matches the Rfam family "Bacterial small subunit ribosomal RNA". Lineage: Bacteria; Pseudomonadati; Pseudomonadota; Betaproteobacteria; Burkholderiales; Alcaligenaceae. The record is from RNAcentral.
GUUGAUUCUGGCUCAGAUUGAACGCUGGCGGGAUGCUUUACACAUGCAAGUCGAACGGCAGCACGGACUUCGGUCUGGUGGCGAAAGUGGCGAACGGGUGAGUAGUAAUAUCGGGGCAGUGCUUACCACCUAGUAGCGGGGGAUAACUACGCGAAAGCAGCUAAUACCGCAUACGCCCUUCGGGGAAAGCGGGGGACCUUCGGGCCUCGCACUAUUAAACGGCCGAUAUCGGAUUAGCUAGUUGGUGGGGUAACGGCUCACCAAGGCGACGAUCCGUAGCUGGUUUGAGAGGACGACCAACCACACUGGGACUGAGACACGGCCCGAACUCCGGAGGAGGCAGCAGUGGGAAUUUUUUGGAUAAUGGGGAAACCCUGAUCCAGCCAUCCCGCGUGUGGAGUAAAGAACCUUCGGGUUGUAAAGCACUUUGGCAGGAAAGAAGCGGGAUAAUACCCCGUGCAACUGACAGUACUACAGAAUAAGCACCGGCUAACUACGUGCCAGCAGCCGCGGUAAUACGUAGGGUACAGCGUUAAUCAAGGAAUUACUGGGCGUAAAGCGUGCGCAGGCGGUUCGGAAAGAAAGAUGUGAAAUCCCAGGCUUAACCUGGAACUGCAUUUUUAACUACCGAGCUAGAGUGUGUCAGAGGAGGGUGGAAUUCCGCGUGUAGCAGUGAAAUGCGUAGAUAUGCGGAGGAACACACCGAUAGCGAAGAGCAACCUCCUGGGAUAACACUGACGCUCAUGCACGAAAGCGUGGGGAGUGACAGGAUUAGAUACCCUGGUAGUCCCGCCCUAAACGAUGUCAACUAGCUGUUGGGGCCUUCAGACGCCCGAAGUGGCAUACCAGCUAACGCGUAGAAGUUGACCGCCUGGGACUACAGUCGCAGAUUAAAACUCAAAGGAAUUGACGGGGACCCGCACAAGCGGUGGAUGAUGUGGAUUAAUUCGAUGCAACGCGAAAAACCUUACCUACCCUUGACAUGUCUGGAAUCGAAGAGAUUUGGGAGUGCUCGCAAGAGAACCGGAACACAGGUGCUGCAUGGCUGUCGUCAGCUCGUGUCGUGAGAUGUUAGGUUAAGUCCCGCAACGAGCGCAGCCCUUGUCAUUAGUUGCUACCCCGAAAGGAGCACUCUAAUGAGACUGCCGGUGACAAACCGGAGGAAGGUGGGGAUGACGUCAAGUCCUCAUGGCCCUUAUAGGUGGGGCUUCACACGUCAUACAAUGGUCGGGACAGAGGGUCGCCAACCCGCGAGGGGCCAAUCGAAACCCGAUCAGCGGUCCGGAUCGCAGUCUGCAACUCGACUUGCCGUGAAGUCGGAAUCGCUAGUAAUCGAGGAUCAACCUGUCGCAGUGAGCCACGUUCCCGGGUCUUGCCCACCGCCCGUCACACCAUGGGAGUGGGUUUUACCAGAAGUAGUUAGCCUAACCGUAAGGAGGGCGAUUACCACGGUAAGUUCGCGAAGCUGGGGUGAAGUCGUAACAAGGU